Molecule: RNA transcript, 2173 nt
Organism: Solanum pennellii
Lineage: Eukaryota; Viridiplantae; Streptophyta; Magnoliopsida; Solanales; Solanaceae
Gene name: protein root UVB sensitive 3
Exons: 15
Source: RefSeq, a predicted model, not a curated record
AAAGCAAAAGUGAAGACUUUCAGUUUGACUUCUCGCCGGCGAACACAAUGGAGGGAGAUCAAAAGGUGAAUUCCACUUCUCCGGCGCCGGAGCCGGCGAUGAUGAUCGAAGAAUGGAACGGAACUUCGUCGACAAAACUCACGAAGACGGCCACCAUAACUUCCACUUCUCAUUCUUCGAUCUCUAUCCAAAGAUCCAGUAACGCAUUUACUCAUAUCUCUCAAAGAAUUCUCCAAGCUUUCGUUCCCGAGGGGUAUCCAACUAGUGUUACUCCAGAUUAUUUUCCUUUUCAAGUGUGGGAUUCAUUGCAGGGGCUUUCUACGUAUGUGCGGAUGAUGCUCUCUACACAAGCUCUUCUAAGUGCUAUAGGUGUUGGUGAGAAAUCGGCUACUGUUAUUGGGGCAACGUUUCAGUGGUUCUUGCGAGAUUUAACUGGAAUGCUUGGAGGUGUCUUGUUCACUUGUUACCAGGGUUCUAAUUUAGACAGCAAUGCCAAAAUGUGGCGUUUGGUGGCAGAUCUCAUGAAUGAUCUCGGAAUGUUGAUGGAUCUUGUAUCUCCUUUAUUUCCAUCAGCCUUUGUGUUCAUCGUCUGCAUAGGGAGUCUAUCAAGGUCAUUCACUGGUGUUGCUAGUGGAGCCACUAGAGCAGCUUUGACGCAGCACUUUGCCCUUGAAAACAAUGCAGCAGAUAUAGCUGCAAAGGAAGGAAGCCAAGAAACUCUAGCUACGAUGAUUGGGAUGGCUUUAGGAAUGCUUCUUGCACGCCUUACAAUUGGCCACUCGUUUGCCAUUUGGAUAUCCUUUUUGUCUCUUACUAUGUUCCAUAUGUAUGCAAACUACAAGGCUGUCUGUUGUCUUUCGCUGAAUACUCUGAACUGUGAAAGAUGCUCCAUUGUUUUAUCACAUUUCGUCAAGACAGGUCAAGUUCUCUCUCCAAAGCAGGUCUCUUCCAUGGAGCACGUUCUACCUUUAUGGAUGACCUCAUGGAACUUAAAGGGUGGUGAUUCUCUAUACAAGCAAGUACGUUUAGGUGUCAGAGUUUCUUCACUUGACAGCCUUGCUAUGGUUGACCUAUUACAAUCUGCUGGAUCACAUUACAAGAAAGAGAAAUAUUUACUUCAACAAAAAGGGGAUAUUAUCAGGAUUAUUACUCAUAAAGAUUCAGCAGGAGCUGAUAUAUUACAAUCAUUCAUCCAUGCUCUUGUCAUGGCAAAACUAGAUGAUCAAGAUGGAUCCAUGUCUUCGGAAAGCCAAUCAUGGAUGGAUAAGCAUUAUGAAGUCUUUGUUCUGAAGUGAAGUUGGCAAAUGGUGGGAGGUAUCCCGUGGAAUUAGUCGAGGUGCACACAAGUUGACCUGGACCACUCUUUAUCAAAAAGAAAAAAAAUGUGAAAGCUGGCGAAUGGUGUAGAAGAGGAGAAGUGCAAAUGCCGAUAAGAAGUCAACCCACAUUUUUUUGUGAUAGUGAUGUUUUGGGCCAGCUUAUGCACAACUCGUCUUCUCCUCAGAGUACCUAUUACCUCUCACCAGCACAGCUUCAGUCAUCAGGAUGGAAGACUGAACGUCUACUAUCAUCAUCAGUCGUUUGGAGAGCAAAUUGGCUGGUAGAUUAUUCAGAUGGCAAACAUGACUAGUCUACUUCAAUACAAACUAAAAGUCAUCUAGUUACAGUCAGAUGCUUUCAAAUUACGACUUGGGGUGAUUUCAAGUCAUCAUUCAGUAUGUCUUGGAUCUUCCAAUGAUCAUUGAGAAGGUAAAAGUUUAGCCCAGCUUAUACAUGUUGUGUUCAAAGGAAUAGCAUUCGAUGGAUAGUUUCUAUGAUCUUGCAGAAACUCUUGUUUUAUUGGAAUUUUAAGUAGGUCCAGGAUAAUCUUGAAAUCAAAGUUGUAAUUUUUUGGCCUUUAAUAUAUGUUAUGUAGGUCAAACUCCAAGUAGGGCUUGAUGCCUGUAUAGCUUUGUCUUUGUUAGAAGGGAAAAAUCUAGAGAUGUUUGGUACUUUUGAAUGCUCCCUUGGGACAAGUGAUGUACACUAGGGUUGUACAAGUAUUUUAUCACCUAUUGUCACAACUCGACUUGUACAAUGAUAUUUAUGUUGUACUAUUCAAGUGGUAUCCUCCCGGUGUAAAAGGGAGUCAUGGAGCAACCGUAAAGUUGUUUUCAUGUGACUUUAUAGAUCA